AUUGACCAAAUGAAAGUACAGGUACUAAAUUCAUAAUUUAUACAAAGUAUAGGGUGUAAUAGCAAAAUUUGAGAUUUUUUUCCUGGUUACAAGCAGGAGUCCCAUGGCAAAGUUGAAAAGUAAAAUGGUUCAUAGUAUACCACUUAAUGGCAGCUGCUCCCACCGCCAUUGCCACGCAAAAUUCCCGGGCCUCGCAUACCCACGUGUAAAGUAGUCUUCAACUUUUGACCCAGGAAUUUCAUUUGAAAGUUGGGAAAGUAAUAGGUUGGAUGGUUCAGUAAAAAAAAAAUGUAAUUAAUCAUUUGAGAUGAUUAAGAGAAUUAUUGGUGGGUUUAGUUUUUAAAAAAACUGAUUUAAUCGAUUGAUUACAAUCCAUUAAAAAUAAGGGAGGAAAUAAAGAAAACUAAACGUGACUCAAAGCACAGACAUCGAGAAACAAGCAAUUAAAGAAGUCUGCAACCCAAAUUAAAGCCAAACCAAAAAAAAAAAAAAAUAAUAAACAAACAGAACCUAAAGCAGUAACCUCAAUCGACAGAAAAUAGAUCUUCCCUAAAAGCUCCAAACCAUGGACCCCGCUAAAAACUCUUUUGAGAACCUGGAAACGAGAUAACUGCAUGAAACAUCAAGAAAACCCAAUAGAGAGCGAGGCUUCAAUAUUAUCAUUGGAGUGAAAGAUAAAAAUUUCCAGAAAUCCAAAGCUACAAGCCCAGAUUAGGGCAUUGUAGAGUAGUGCGACUACUCUACCGCCGCCGUUCACUCAACCAAUUCCGAUGCCUCUUCAACCCAGAAUAUUUCUUCAGAGAAACAGCGCCCCUCCCUGGCCAAGACAUGGGCCGCUGCAUUUGCCUCUCUUUUUACAUGGAGAAAGGAUCUCCGCCAGUUUGGCGUUUCUUAUUUGGUGAUUUCAACUUCACUGAAGAGCUUUCAAUUGAUGUCCGACCUAAUUGUAUUGUAUUUGAUCUCAAUCCAAACUAAAAAUUGUAAAAUUAUAGCGAGGUAAGUAGUUAUAAAUUAGCAGAAAUUGAAAUAUUGCUAAACUAAAACUUACAUAGAAUGUCUGCUCUUCAGUUUUCAUAUUUGUGUAGAGGCCUAGCCCAGUGGCAGACUACCUUCGAAUUUUCA
This is a long non-coding RNA of Gossypium arboreum, 1122 nucleotides long. RefSeq lists it as uncharacterized. The record is from RefSeq and is a predicted model, not a curated record. The transcript has 2 exons. Lineage: Eukaryota; Viridiplantae; Streptophyta; Magnoliopsida; Malvales; Malvaceae.